RNAcentral lists this ribosomal RNA (253 nucleotides) under uncultured bacterium. Its description in RNAcentral is "partial 16S ribosomal RNA". It matches the Rfam family "Bacterial small subunit ribosomal RNA", at positions 524 to 776 of the family's 1533-position model. The record is from RNAcentral.
UACGUAGGGGGCAAGCGUUGUCCGGAAUCAUUGGGCGUAAAGCGCGCGUAGGCGGCCCGGUAAGUCCGCUGUAAAAGUCCAGGGCUCAACCCUGGAAAGCCGGUGGAUACUGUCGGGCUCGAGUCCGGAAGAGGCGAGUGGAAUUCCUGGUGUAGCGGUGGAAUGCGCAGAUAUCAGGAGGAACAUCGAUGGCGAAGGCAGCUCGCUGGGACGGUACUGACGCUAAGGCGCGAAAGCGUGGGGAGCAAACAGG